ACCAGACUCCUACGGGAGGCAGCAGUGGGGAAUAUUGCGCAAUGGGCGAAAGCCUGACGCAGCGACGCCGCGUGAGGGAUGAAGGUCUUCGGAUCGUAAACCUCUGUCAGCAGGGAAGAACGGUCACUGUGCUAAUCAGCAGUGAAUUGACGGUACCUGCAAAGGAAGCACCGGCUAACUCCGUGCCAGCAGCCGCGGUAAUACGUAGGGGGCAAGCGUUAUCCGGAUUUACUGGGUGUAAAGGGAGCGUAGGCGGUUAGAUAAGUCUGAUGUGAAAGCCCGCAGCUUAACUGUGGGAUUGCAUUGGAAACUAUGGAACUAGAGUGUCGGAGAGGUAAGGGGAAUUCCUAGGGUAGCGGUGAAAUGCGUAGAUAUUAGGAGGAACACCAGUGGCGAAGGCGGCUUACUGGACGAUGACUGACGCUGAGGCUCGAAAGCGUGGGGAGCAAACAGGAUUAGAUACCCGUGUAA
RNAcentral lists this ribosomal RNA (471 nucleotides) under uncultured bacterium. RNAcentral's name for it is "partial 16S ribosomal RNA". It matches the Rfam family "Bacterial small subunit ribosomal RNA", at positions 330 to 793 of the family's 1533-position model. The record is from RNAcentral.